Cynoglossus semilaevis (tongue sole) is the source of this 1955-nucleotide long non-coding RNA. RefSeq lists it as uncharacterized. NCBI's taxonomy places the organism in Eukaryota, Metazoa, Chordata, Actinopteri, Pleuronectiformes, Cynoglossidae. The record is from RefSeq and is a predicted model, not a curated record. The transcript has 3 exons.
UAAAUAGUAAAAUUGUGCAAAAAUAAAAAUAAAAAUGUAAGACUCCUAUACAAAUCUUGUUCUCUUCUCUGCUCUGCACGAACGCAGUUAAGAUGAGCUGUUAUUUAAUCACGAUCUUUGUCAACAGAGUUAAUAUUUUCGUAAAUAAUUUGCAGUUCAUAUUCCAUCCUCAUCAAUCCAAUCCCUGAUCCUCGGUUUGUUCCACUGCACGACACUCACCCCCGCCAACAGCCCCCUCUGGAUGCUGAAAACCAUGAACAGUUGAGGCUCACACUCACAUUCUUGCGCACAGCAAAAAAGUGAGGAGGCGCCUCCGCUCCCACCCUGAGCCAAUGGCGCACGGAGCAGCCUGAUCACACUUAUCCCCUCCUGACCAAUGGCGCGUCUCUGCCGCACUCACAUGACGUCUUCCUGAGCGCUCCCCCUGCACUCAGCGCACAAUCCCGGCGAACACAGGCAUCACUGAAGACCUGACACCGGCGGAAUCGGACGCCCACUGUCCCUCUGCAACAAACGAGCACUUUUUCCUCCCUCUCCCGUGAGAAACUCCGUCGCCCCUCAGACGCAGCUGACCAUCGCGGCACCGACAAUGACGCAGCUUCGGCGGAGCAGCAGACUUUCCACAACCCGGUUUCCGAGCGAGCGGAGAGGCGCAGGGGCGAGACAAUGACGGCCAGAAGUUAUUGAAAUAAAUCGCUUUGAGGUGAGCUGAUAGAAGCAGAAGAUACAGAACAGGUAGCAGCAGCGUUUAGCUGCGCUACAAAAGGGAAGAAUCAACGCUGCAACAGACAACAGCAACAACGAGAUUAAAGUCCAGGUCCAGACAUGAAGGAGGACUUCACACACACACACACACACACACACAUAUCUUCAUGGCACCUAGAGUCUGUCUGCGGUCUACCACCAGCCUGCCACACACACACACACGCACACACUGCCGUUACGGUAAGAAUCAGAGACAGAGUCAGGAUUGAGGAAGACAAUAAUGGUGUGACUGUGAGGAAAACAAACUAUUAUCCACCACUGUUUACUUCUCCGGCUAUUUUAACAACUAAUUCACUGCUUAUUCCACAAAACAAAUACCAAACACCGACUGCAGUCAGUCAGCCAAAAGCACCAGACGCACUUUUUUAUAUUUAAAGCUCCUGCCUUUGUCCAAAGACGCCGACCUUGAACACUGGACAAGGGGCUGCAUUUAUUGUAAAUGUACAUGCAGUGAGGGAGUAACACGGUACGUGUGGUGUCACACACGCUAUAUAUAGUCAGGCCCUGCGUGUGUGUGCAUGUAGAAAAAUCUGCCUCAUUUUAUUUCCCGUCUCCAUCAGUCAAAGCCAAUCUUCACAACUCGCCUUCGACAGCUGCACCGCAGCUCCCACAAACCCCAUCCACCGACCCCCUCCACCCACUCACUGCCCCUCCCAGGUUUUCCCAGCACCCUCAGUCACCCUCGUUUCCAAAAGGGAAAAAAAAAAAAAAAAAAAAACCUAACCUAAUGCAUGCUAGAAUUACAGCCUGUGAGGUGGCAUUGUGGGAAACCCCUCCCUCCCUUUCAAGUGCUCUAUAUGCCCUUAUUUCUGCGUCUUAUCUUUUUCACAUUCCUCCACUGAGGAGGGAUUUAUUUUUGAUCUCUCUUUACACAGGACCACAGCUGAAAAUGUUCAUUUGCUCAACUGCUGGUGGUAGCCGUGCUCCACAUGGACGCCUGCGAACUGAACUCUACUCUGAGAGUUCACGUGUGAAACUCCUGUCCUGAAUGACCGAGGGCAAGAGUCAGCCGACGGUACCAUCACCUUUAAAUGGCUGAUGUCUGAAGGCGAACCUUUCCAACUUCAUAUUUUUCUUUGUUUUAAACAAAAGAGAGUAGCUGUGAAGAGCAGUGACUGUCAGAGAGUGGAGGCAGGAUUUUCCAAGAUACAGUGUGGUGCAUAAACAAAUGAGAAAAAAAACAAAAAAAA